GGUUGAAGACACGGUAACACGUGCUCGAAGGACCGAACCCACUUCUGUUGCAAAAGCAGGGGAUGACCUGUGGCUAGGGGUGAAAGGCCAAUCAAACUCGGAGAUAGCUGGUUCUCCGCGAAAUCUAUUUAGGUAGAGCGUUCGAGAUCCACCUUUGGGGGUAGAGCACUGAAUGGGCUAGGGGGGAGCGAUCCUUACCAAACCCAAUUAAACUCCGAAUACCAAAGAGUGAAGCUCGGGCAGGCACACAGUAGGAGCUAAGUUCUAUUGUGAAAAGGGAAACAGCCCUGACCGUCCGCUAAGGUCCCAAAUUUAUGGUUCAGUGGGAAAGGAAGUGAAGUAGCCAAGACAGCUAGGAGGUUGGCUUAGAAGCAGCCAUCCUUUAAAGAAAGCGUAAUAGCUCACUAGUCUAGAUAAGCCACUUUGCGCCUAAAAUGUAACGGGGCUUAAACCAUAAACCGAAGCGGCGGGUUUCUUUGUUGUAAGGGCUUUUGUUUUUGCAACAGGGGAGCGGUAGCGGAGCGUUCUCUGAUCGAUGAAGGUUAUCCUGUGAGGGGUGCUGGAGAGAAGAGAAGCGAGAAUGCUGACAUAAGUAACGAUAAAUGAAGUGAAAGACUUCAUCGCCGAAAGUCCAAGGGUUCCUACGCAAUGUUAAUCAACGUAGGGUUAGCCGACCCCUAAGGAGAGGCUGAAAAGCGUAUCUGAUGGGAAUACUGUUAAUAUUCAGUAGCCAGUUGGAAAUGACGGCAUAAGUGUUUUGUGCGUUUUUAUUGGAUUAAACACGCAGGGCUCUUGUGUCCAGGAAAUAGAUUCAACGUAUUGAUCGUACCCGAAACCGACACUGGUGGACACGUUUAAAUGAACGAAGGCGCUUGAGAGAAUGGUGUUGAAGGAACUCGGCAAAUUGUCCCUGUAACUUAGGAAGAAGGGGAGCCUUUUUUUAGGAAACUAGGAAGAGGUGGCACAGAAUCGGGGGUAGCGACUGUUUAGCAAAAACACAGGACUCUGCUAAUUCGAAAGAAGACGUAUAGGGUCUGACGCCUGCCCGGUGCUGGAAGGUUAAGAGGAGAUGUGCAAGCAUUGAAUUGAAGCCCCAGUAAACGGCGGCCGUAACUAUAACGGUCCUAAGGUAGCGAAAUUCCUUGUCGGGUAAGUUCCGACCUGCACGAAUGGCGUAACGACUUCCCCGCUGUCUCCAACACCAACUCAGUGAAAUUGGAUUCUCCGUGAAGAUACGGAGUACCCGCGGUCAGACGGAAAGACCCCGUGCACCUU
This 1275-nucleotide ribosomal RNA is filed under the name Stentor polymorphus. RNAcentral describes it as "bacterial LSU rRNA". It matches the Rfam family "Bacterial large subunit ribosomal RNA", at positions 743 to 2101 of the family's 2925-position model. The record is from RNAcentral. Lineage: Eukaryota; Ciliophora; Heterotrichea; Heterotrichida; Stentoridae.